UACGGGGGGGGCAAGCGUUGUUCGGAAUUACUGGGCGUAAAGGGCUCGUAGGUGGCCAACUAAGUCAGACGUGAAAUCCCUCGGCUUAACCGGGGAACUGCAUCUGAUACUGGAUGGCUUGAGAUUGGGAGAGGGAUGCGGAAUUCCAGGUGUAGCGGUGAAAUGCGUAGAUAUCUGGAGGAACACCGGUGGCGAAGGCGGCAUCCUGGACCGGCAUUGACGCUGAUGAGCGAAAGCUAGGGGAGCAAACGGG
This 253-nucleotide ribosomal RNA is filed under the name uncultured bacterium. Its description in RNAcentral is "partial 16S ribosomal RNA". It matches the Rfam family "Bacterial small subunit ribosomal RNA", at positions 524 to 776 of the family's 1533-position model. The record is from RNAcentral.